UGGGGAAUCUUGGACAAUGGGCGAAAGCCUGAUCCAGCCAUGCCGCGUGAGUGACGAAGGUCUUCGGAUUGUAAAGCUCUUUUGGCGGGGACGAUAAUGACGGUACCCGCAGAAUAAGCCCCGGCUAACUUCGUGCCAGCAGCCGCGGUAAUACAGAGGGUGCAAACGUUGCUCGGAAUUACUGGGCGUAAAGCGCGUGUAGGCGGUUCGUUAAGUCGUCUGUGAAAGCCCAUGGCUCAACCAUGGAAGUGCAGCCGAUACUGGCAAACUUGAGUUCUGGAGAGGGUGGCGGAAUUCCCAGUGUAGAGGUGAAAUUCGUAGAUAUUGGGAGGAACACCGGUGGCGAAGGCGGCCACCUGGACAGAUACUGACGCUGAGACGCGAAAGCGCGGGUAGCAAACAGGAUUAGAUACCCCGGUAGUCCCUGAGCGGGCUGGCAAGGCGCAU
Molecule: ribosomal RNA, 447 nt
Filed under: uncultured bacterium
Lineage: Bacteria
Description: bacterial SSU rRNA
Rfam family: Bacterial small subunit ribosomal RNA
Source: RNAcentral